UCCAGACUCCUACGGGAGGCAGCAGUGGGGGAUAUUGCACAAUGGGGGGAACCCUGAUGCAGCGACGCCGCGUGGGUGAAGGAGCGUUUCGGCGCGUAAAGCCCUAUCGGCAGGGAAGAAGGAGGACGGUACCUGACUAAGAAGCCCCGGCUAACUACGUGCCAGCAGCCGCGGUAAUACGUAGGGGGCAAGCGUCAUCCGGAUUUACUGGGUGUAAAGGGGGCGCAGACGGCAGCGCAAGCCAGGAGUGAAAGCCCGGGGCCCAACCCCGGGACUGCUCUUGGAACUGCGCGGCUGGAGUGCAGGAGGGGCAGGCGGAAUUCCUGGUGUAGCGGUGAAAUGCGUAGAUAUCAGGAGGAACACCGGUGGCGAAGGCGGCCUGCUGGACUGCAACUGACGUUGAGGCCCGAAAGCGUGGGGAGCAAACAGGAUUAGAUACCCCGGUA
Molecule: ribosomal RNA, 446 nt
Filed under: uncultured bacterium
Lineage: Bacteria
Description: partial 16S ribosomal RNA
Rfam family: Bacterial small subunit ribosomal RNA
Source: RNAcentral